This 442-nucleotide ribosomal RNA is filed under the name uncultured bacterium. RNAcentral describes it as "bacterial SSU rRNA". It matches the Rfam family "Bacterial small subunit ribosomal RNA", at positions 29 to 506 of the family's 1533-position model. The record is from RNAcentral.
ACGAACGCUGGCGGUAUGCUUAACACAUGCAAGUCGAACGAAGAAUGGUUUCGGCCAUUACUGAGUGGCAGACGGGUGAGUAACACGUAGGAAUCUACCCCUCGGUGGGGAAUAACUGUGGGAAACUGCAGUUAAUACCGCAUAAGCUUGGCGACAAGGAAAGAUUUAUCGCCGAGGGAGGAGCCUGCGCUAGAUUAGGUAGUUGGUAGGGUAAUGGCCUACCAAGCCUGUGAUCUAUAGCUGGUCUGAGAGGAUGAUCAGCCACACUGGGACUGAGACACGGCCCAGACUCCUACGGGAGGCAGCAGUGGGGAAUAUUGGACAAUGGGGGAAACCCUGAUCCAGCAAUACCGCGUGGAUGAAGAAGGCCUUCGGGUUGUAAAGUCCUUUCGGCUGUGAAGAUAAUGACGGUAACAGCAAAAGAAGUCCCGGCUAACUCUGU